RNAcentral lists this ribosomal RNA (376 nucleotides) under uncultured bacterium. RNAcentral's name for it is "bacterial SSU rRNA". It matches the Rfam family "Bacterial small subunit ribosomal RNA", at positions 524 to 898 of the family's 1533-position model. The record is from RNAcentral.
UACGUAGGUGGCGAGCGUUGUUCGGAUUUAUUGGGCGUAAAGGGUCCGCAGGGGGUUGAUUAAGUCUGAUGUGAAAUCUCACGGCUCAACUGUGAAACUGCAUUGGAGACUGGUCAACUAGAGCAUCGGAGAGGAGAGCGGAAUUCCUGGUGUAGCGGUGGAAUGCGUAGAUAUCAGGAAGAACACCAAAAGCGAAGGCAGCUCUCUGGACGAUUGCUGACCCUCAGGGACGAAAGCGUGGGGAGCAAACAGGAUUAGAUACCCUGGUAGUCCACGCUGUAAACGUUGUGAACUUGAUGUGGGAGGAUUUAACCCCUUCCGUGUCGGAGCUAACGCUUUAAGUUCACCGCCUGGGGACUACGGCCGCAAGGCUAAA